Molecule: long non-coding RNA, 554 nt
Filed under: Athene cunicularia (burrowing owl)
Lineage: Eukaryota; Metazoa; Chordata; Aves; Strigiformes; Strigidae
Description: lncRNA (ENSACUG00000003516.1)
Source: RNAcentral
AGGAAUAUCACAGCCAAUUAAGUUACCAUAUAUACUUUUAAGUUGCUGUAUAAAGUUGGUCAUAUUUCUUUAUCAGGAAGAAGCUUCUCUCCAAAGGCGUCGUGCUGCAGUGCGCCAGGCUCUGUCGGGGAAGGCACCUAGUGCAUCUGUCCAGCUUUUCCAAAGAGGCCUGGCAGUCACUCCUGAACCGAGCAGCUCCCGUCAACAAUUCCUGGAACCAACAAUACAUUCUUCUCUGCUCUCAGAUGGAAGAAAUGUCACCCAGGACCAGAGCUUGGCCCUGACUAACCCAGAGAGCCGCUCCAGAGAAUCUGGUCCUGCUCGUGGACGAUUCCUAAUCUCAUCUGGUGCACCUGCUGCUGAAGGCCUGCCCGUUCGGACCCCUGUUCCCCAAGCUCACCUCACUGGAGAUGCCAAAGCUGAGCAUCAAGACCUAAGAGGAGCUGAAAAUGGAGUGGAUAGACUGAAAGGUUUGAACCAAAGUAAGAGUUUUGCUCAGGUUGUGCAUCUUACUGUAAUGCUGACAGCUUCAUUUGGGUGACGGGACAGCCUCU